UCGACGCUUCCUUCGGUGAAGAGUGGCGAACGGGUGAGUAAUACAUAAGUAACCUGGCAUCUACAGGGGGAUAACUGAUGGAAACGUCAGCUAAGACCGCAUAGGUGUAGAGAUCGCAUGAACUCUAUAUGAAAAGUGCUACGGGACUGGUAGAUGAUGGACUUAUGGCGCAUUAGCUUGUUGGUAGGGUAACGGCCUACCAAGGCGACGAUGCGUAGCCGACCUGAGAGGGUGACCGGCCACACUGGGACUGAGACACGGCCCAGACUCCUACGGGAGGCAGCAGUAGGGAAUUUUCGGCAAUGGGGGAAACCCUGACCGAGCAACGCCGCGUGAAGGAAGAAGUAAUUCGUUAUGUAAACUUCUGUCAUAGAGGAAGAACGGUGGAUAUAGGGAAUGAUAUCCAAGUGACGGUACUCUAUAAGAAAGCCACGGCUAACUACGUGCCAGCAGCCGCGGUAAUACGUAGGUGGCGAGCGUUAUCCGGAAUUAUUGGGCGUAAAGAGGGAGCAGGCGGCACUAAGGGUCUGUGGUGAAAGAUCGAAGCUUAACUUCGGUAAGCCAUGGAAACCGUAGAGCUAGAGUGUGUGAGAGGAUCGUGGAAUUCCAUGUGUAGCGGUGAAAUGCGUAGAUAUAUGGAGGAA
This 644-nucleotide ribosomal RNA is filed under the name uncultured bacterium. RNAcentral describes it as "bacterial SSU rRNA". It matches the Rfam family "Bacterial small subunit ribosomal RNA", at positions 73 to 706 of the family's 1533-position model. The record is from RNAcentral.